CACCUUUCACUUUGCCAA
Molecule: non-coding RNA, 18 nt
Filed under: Arabidopsis thaliana (thale cress)
Lineage: Eukaryota; Viridiplantae; Streptophyta; Magnoliopsida; Brassicales; Brassicaceae
Source: RNAcentral